UGUAAGCGUAUACCAAAGUUGUUGCAGUUAAAACGCUCGUAGUCGGAAUUUGGCAGUUCCGGAUGUGUGCACGUCGUGUGCGCACUUCGCGGGGAUUGCUUUUGUGGUCUUGCGUAGGAUGAGGCACUUUUAUUAGUGAACGUCCUCACGCAACCACUUUUUACUGUGAGAAAAUCAGAGUGCUCAAAGCAGGAAUUUGCCGUGAAUGUAUUAGCAUGGAAUAAUAGAAUAGGACUUGGUUCUAUUUUGUUGGUUUGUUGGGACUGAGUAAUGAUUAAGAGGGACAGUUGGGGGCAUUUGUAUUUCGGUGCUAGAGGUGAAAUUCUUAGAUUACCGAAAGACAAACUGCUGCGAAAGCGUCUGCCAAGGAUGUUUUCAUUGA
RNAcentral lists this ribosomal RNA (382 nucleotides) under uncultured eukaryote. Its description in RNAcentral is "partial 18S ribosomal RNA". It matches the Rfam family "Eukaryotic small subunit ribosomal RNA", at positions 592 to 976 of the family's 1831-position model. The record is from RNAcentral.